UAGGGAAUCUUCCACAAUGGGCGAAAGCCUGAUGGAGCAACGCCGCGUGUGUGAUGAAGGCUUUCGGUCGUAAAGCGCUGUUGUAUGGGAAGAACAGCUAGAAUAGGAAAUGAUUUUAGUUUGACGGUACCAUACCAGAAAGGGACGGCUAAAUACGUGCCAG
This 163-nucleotide ribosomal RNA is filed under the name uncultured bacterium. RNAcentral's name for it is "partial 16S ribosomal RNA". It matches the Rfam family "Bacterial small subunit ribosomal RNA", at positions 355 to 511 of the family's 1533-position model. The record is from RNAcentral.